This 249-nucleotide long non-coding RNA is filed under the name Helianthus annuus (common sunflower). RNAcentral's name for it is "hypothetical non coding rna". The record is from RNAcentral. Lineage: Eukaryota; Viridiplantae; Streptophyta; Magnoliopsida; Asterales; Asteraceae.
UUGGGGCUUCAACACUGGAAUAGAGUCCUGCCACCACCACCGACGAUCCACGAUUUACUCUGCCCUUACUGACAGUCACCUAAGGAAAAAAACAACUUUGUUGGUCAAAGUUGUCAAGGCUUUAUUCUAAGUCAAAGAUUACGUUAAUUACCGAAAAAUGAGAGUUAUAACGUGGUUUCACCAAACUACAUGUUAACACACCAAUCUAACAUCAAUGAGAAGAUGAGAGCCAUGCUAAUGGACUGCCUU